AUAUAUUUUACAUAAUCGAAUGCACUUAAACCAUGUCCUAAUGUGCUUAAAUCAUAUAACCUAGUCGAAUGCACAUAAAUCAUAGUACCAAGUCAAAUGCACCUAAACCAUGGUACUUAUAUGAAUGCACCUAAACCAUGGUACCUAUAUGAAUGCACCUAAAUCAUGGUACCUAUAUGAAUGCACCUGAAUGCACCUAAAUCAUGGUACCUAUAUGAAUGCACCUAAAUCAUAGUACCUAUAUGAAUGUA
This 251-nucleotide long non-coding RNA is filed under the name Malus domestica (apple). RNAcentral's name for it is "long non-coding RNA (MDOM_LNC014500)". The record is from RNAcentral. Lineage: Eukaryota; Viridiplantae; Streptophyta; Magnoliopsida; Rosales; Rosaceae.